Long non-coding RNA from Patiria miniata (bat star), 692 nucleotides. RefSeq lists it as uncharacterized. The transcript is spliced from 3 exons. Lineage: Eukaryota; Metazoa; Echinodermata; Asteroidea; Valvatida; Asterinidae. The record is from RefSeq and is a predicted model, not a curated record.
UCGGGAUACAGAGUACGAACAGAGCAUGGCAAAACAGUCUAAAGGAAUCAAGCAGUGUCUUGAGAGAUAUAUGAGUUCUAAGGUCAGCGUGCCUGUUAACAGCUUGGCUGGAGACUAUGAACAGAGUGUGGUGAUACCAGUUGGACAUUUGAAGAACCUGAACCGUGGUACAAGAGCAAAGUUCAGGAGACAUGCACCAGUGAUGAUGUGGUCAAUCAGAGCCCUGUGAGAGGAAUGUGCACAAAGGACAGCAUCCAGGACAAUGAAACAAAAAUCAAAUCAGCAAGGUUGCCAGGUCAGUGAAGGACGGAGUUUGUUGAAACGUGUGGCUACAUGGCAAGAUGUACACAUGUAUUGUACUGAUUUGGCAAGAUCAAUGUCUUUGUCUAAUAAUGAGCAGUUUGAAAUUACAGGUGUAUCUGUAUGGCUGGAUGAUGAGGUAAGGCAAGAUGCUGAUGAUUGUAAAGAGGAGACGGAGCAAUUGUUUUUGGGAAGUAGUGAUCACAGUAAAGGAGAAGGCAAUGAAGGAAGUAGUGGUUCUAGAGAAGUUCCUGGUUCUUGUAGCAGUUUGCCAAGUACAUGUAGUGAUCUGCCAAAUAAGAAGAAGGAAGGUCAGAAACCUAGUUUCAAUGAAAUGAGUUGUAAUAAAGUUGAUAAUGGUAGUGAUGUUGAAAUCAAGGAAGUAAGACAAA